This 253-nucleotide ribosomal RNA is filed under the name uncultured bacterium. RNAcentral's name for it is "partial 16S ribosomal RNA". It matches the Rfam family "Bacterial small subunit ribosomal RNA", at positions 524 to 776 of the family's 1533-position model. The record is from RNAcentral.
AACAGAGGAUGCAAGCGUUAUCCGGAAUUAUUGGGCGUAAAGCGCUCGUAGGCGGUUUUUCAAGUCUGCUGUGAAAACUGGAGGCUCAACCUCCAGCCUGCAGUGGGUACGGGCAGGCUAGAGUGCGGUAGGGGAGAUUGGAAUUCCUGGUGUAGCGGUGGAAUGCGCAGAUAUCAGGAGGAACACCGAUGGCGAAGGCAGAUCUCUGGGCCGUAACUGACGCUGAGGAGCGAAAGCAUGGGGAGCGAACAGG